GUGGGGAAUCUUCCGCAAUGGACGAAAGUCUGACGGAGCGACGCCGCGUGAGUGAAGAAGGCCUUCGGGUCGUAAAGCUCUGUCAUCAGGGACGAACGGCCGGUGGAGUGGAAAGCCACCGGAUUGACGGUACCUGAGAAGGAAGCCACGGCUAACUACGUGCCAGCAGCCGCGGUAAUACGUAGGUGGCAAGCGUUGUCCGGAAUUAUUGGGCGUAAAGCGCGCGCAGGUGGGAUCUUAAGUCCAUUUUUAAAGUUCGGAGCUCAACUCCGUGAUGGGAUGGAAACUGGGAUUCUUGAGUACCGGAGAGGAAAGCGGAAUUCCCCGUGUAGCGGUGAAAUGCGUAGAUAUGGGGAGGAACACCAGUGGCGAAGGCGGCUUUCUGGACGGUGUCUGACACUGAGGCGCGAAAGCCAGGGGAGCGAACGGGAUUAGAUACCCUAGUAGUC
Molecule: ribosomal RNA, 449 nt
Filed under: uncultured bacterium
Lineage: Bacteria
Description: partial 16S ribosomal RNA
Rfam family: Bacterial small subunit ribosomal RNA
Source: RNAcentral